This 428-nucleotide long non-coding RNA is filed under the name Dasypus novemcinctus (nine-banded armadillo). RNAcentral's name for it is "lncRNA (ENSDNOG00000051611.1)". The record is from RNAcentral. Lineage: Eukaryota; Metazoa; Chordata; Mammalia; Cingulata; Dasypodidae.
AGGGACUUGCAGUGGAUGGCAAUAAGGAAUAAUAGUCACCCAGGUGGUGUAUGGCCAAUCAAACCGCAUAAGGUGUGAGAUCAUCAAGGCAAUGAAGUGUUGGUCUCCACACACGUUGGGCUCUGGUGCUGGUAGUCCUGACUACAUUCUGUCACCACCACAGUGCUCCAGAGGGAUUGAGAGACUCAAGCCCUUCCUUUGCUCACUCCCCAAAAGAAGAAAACAGACACUGGAUGUCACUGACGAUAUCUCUUAAAGACUCAGGAAAGAGUGACUCGUUCACAGUUGCCAGGAAAUUAGUGGUUGUUCUCACUUGAUGAUGAAGGACGGCCAUUUCCAACUCUACUGUCUUCCAGAGUACAGCUACAUGCAGAAGAUUAGUGUACUCAUUAAAUGUAAAUGAAUCAAAAUUCAAGCUUUUCCAAUUC